RNAcentral lists this ribosomal RNA (450 nucleotides) under uncultured bacterium. RNAcentral's name for it is "partial 16S ribosomal RNA". It matches the Rfam family "Bacterial small subunit ribosomal RNA", at positions 354 to 796 of the family's 1533-position model. The record is from RNAcentral.
GUGGGGAAUAUUGGACAAUGGGCGAAAGCCUGAUCCAGCCAUGCCGCGUGUGUGAAGAAGGUCUUCGGAUUGUAAAGCACUUUAAGUUGGGAGGAAGGGUAGUAACCUAAUACGUUGCUACUUUGACGUUACCGACAGAAUAAGCACCGGCUAACUUCGUGCCAGCAGCCGCGGUAAUACGAAGGGUGCAAGCGUUAAUCGGAAUUACUGGGCGUAAAGCACGCGUAGGUGGUUUUGUAAGUUGGAGGUGAAAUCCCCGGGCUCAACCUGGGAACUGCCUCCAAAACUGCAUGACUAGAGUACGGUAGAGGGUAGUGGAAUUUCCUGUGUAGCGGUGAAAUGCGUAGAUAUAGGAAGGAACACCAGUGGCGAAGGCGACUACCUGGACUGAUACUGACACUGAGGUGCGAAAGCGUGGGGAGCAAACAGGAUUAGAAACCCGAGUAGUCC